UACGAAGGGGGCUAGCGUUGUUCGGAUUUACUGGGCGUAAAGCGCACGUAGGCGGAUCGAUCAGUCAGGGGUGAAAUCCCAGAGCUCAACUCUGGAACUGCCUUUGAUACUGUCGAUCUGGAAUAUGGAAGAGGGUCGCGGAAUUCCCGGUGUAGAGGUGAAAUUCGUAGAUAUCGGGAGGAACACCAGUGGCGAAGGCGGCGACCUGGGCCAAUAUUGACGCUGAGGUGCGAAAGCGUGGGGAGCAAACAGG
RNAcentral lists this ribosomal RNA (253 nucleotides) under uncultured bacterium. RNAcentral's name for it is "partial 16S ribosomal RNA". It matches the Rfam family "Bacterial small subunit ribosomal RNA", at positions 524 to 776 of the family's 1533-position model. The record is from RNAcentral.